This 467-nucleotide ribosomal RNA is filed under the name uncultured bacterium. Its description in RNAcentral is "partial 16S ribosomal RNA". It matches the Rfam family "Bacterial small subunit ribosomal RNA", at positions 28 to 507 of the family's 1533-position model. The record is from RNAcentral.
GAUGAACGCUGGCGGCGUGCUUAACACAUGCAAGUCGAACGGAAAGGCCCAAGCUUGCUUGGGUACUCGAGUGGCGAACGGGUGAGUAACACGUGGGUGAUCUGCCCUGCACUUCGGGAUAAGCCUGGGAAACUGGGUCUAAUACCGGAUAGGACCACAUUUUGGAUGGUGUGGUGGAAAGUUUUUCGGUGUGGGAUGAGCUCGCGGCCUAUCAGCUUGUUGGUGGGGUAAUGGCCUACCAAGGCGUCGACGGGUAGCCGGCCUGAGAGGGUGUACGGCCACAUUGGGACUGGGAUACGGCCCAUACUCCUACGGGAGGCAGCAGUGGGGAAUAUUGCACAAUGGGCGCAAGCCUGAUGCAGCGACGCCGCGUGGGGGAUGACGGCCUUCGGGUUGUAAACUCCUUUCGCUAGGGACGAAGCGUUUUUGUGACGGUACCUGGAGAAGAAGCACCGGCUAACUACGUG